UCUGAUUUCCCUCUUCCUCUUCUCACAACCUACCAUCUGAACGCCGCCGCUACCCUUUCUCGAUUUCCCUCUUCCUCUUAUCGCAACCCACCAUGCAAAUGUCGCCGCUAUCCUCCCCAUUUCCCUCUUCCUCUUCUCGCAACCCACCAUUCGAACGUCGCUGCUACUUGCUACCAUCUGAAUGUCGCUGAACGCCACUGCUAUCUGCUAGCAUCUGAACGUCGUUGGAGGCCGCCACCCUUUUGCUCACCAAACUCGUCGUAAGUGCUCCAUUCGUUGCAGCUCACCCUAAGUUCACUCGUGAGGGAUUAAUAUCAAGCUAGUGGAUGAAUACUUAUUGGAUCUUGAAAGGAGAUUUAAAGGAAGAGAAGGCUAUUGACCAUGGAAUUCUUUCCUUGCUCCAACCUGCAACUUUGGUUCAAACUUUUGGACAAAGGAACCAUGUUUGCUUGAACGAGGGUCCAUCAUUGUUCCUCCAUACUGUCCUCCCUAGAAAAUGAAAACCCACCUAAUCCCCCUUGAAACUCCUUGCUCUAUCAUCGUCUAUUUUCGUGGAUUGUUUUAUGAUGUUAACAAUGACCCAGAAGGUGGUUAUUACAUAAGGUGCAUGUUGGUUAUGUCAUUAUUAGUUUUUUACAUUCCUAGAAUAGAACAGGGUUGAAUACAACACUAAUAGGGUAUAGAAGUUUGACUUUGUUGUGUUUUGACAA
This is a long non-coding RNA of Cucumis sativus (cucumber), 710 nucleotides long. RefSeq lists it as uncharacterized. NCBI's taxonomy places the organism in Eukaryota, Viridiplantae, Streptophyta, Magnoliopsida, Cucurbitales, Cucurbitaceae. The transcript has 3 exons. The record is from RefSeq and is a predicted model, not a curated record.